AUUGAACGCUGGCGGCAGGCUUAACACAUGCAAGUCGAGCGGGGUGAUGGUGCUUGCACUAUCACUUAGCGGCGGACGGGUGAGUAAUGCUUAGGAAUCUGCCUAUUAGUGGGGGACAACAUCUCGAAAGGGAUGCUAAUACCGCAUACGUCCUACGGGAGAAAGCAGGGGAUCACUUGUGACCUUGCGCUAAUAGAUGAGCCUAAGUCGGAUUAGCUAGUUGGUGGGGUAAAGGCCUACCAAGGUGACGAUCUGUAGCGGGUCUGAGAGGAUGAUCCGCCACACUGGGACUGAGACACGGCCCAGACUCCUACGGGAGGUAGCAGUGGGGAAUAUUGGACAAUGGGGGGAACCCUGAUCCAGCCAUGCCGCGUGUGUGAAGAAGGCCUUAUGGUUGUAAAGCACUCUAAGCGAGGAGGAGGCUCUUUUGGUUAAUACCCAAGAUGAGUGGACGUUACUCGCAGAAUAAGCACCGGCUAACUCUGUGCCAGCCGCCGCGGUAA
Molecule: ribosomal RNA, 503 nt
Filed under: uncultured bacterium
Lineage: Bacteria
Description: partial 16S ribosomal RNA
Rfam family: Bacterial small subunit ribosomal RNA
Source: RNAcentral